Molecule: ribosomal RNA, 301 nt
Filed under: uncultured bacterium
Lineage: Bacteria
Description: partial 16S ribosomal RNA
Rfam family: Bacterial small subunit ribosomal RNA
Source: RNAcentral
CAUAGCCGCGGUAAUACGAAGGGUGCAAGCGUUAAUCGGAAUUACUGGGCGUAAAGCGCGCGUAGGUGGUUCGCCAAGUUGGAUGUGAAAUCCCCGGGCUCAACCUGGGAACUGCAUCCAAAACUGGCGAGCUAGAGUAUGGUAGAGGGUGGUGGAAUUACCUGUGUAGCGGUGAAAUGCGUAGAUAUAGGAAGGAACAUCAGUGGCGAAGGCGACCACCUGGACUGAUACUGACACUGAGGUGCGAAAGCGUGGGGAGCAAACAGGAUUAGAGACCCCCGUAGUCCCUGUCUCUUAUACA